AUUGAACGCUGGCGGCAGGCCUAACACAUGCAAGUCGAGCGGAGGAAGGGAGCUUGCUCCUGGAUUCAGCGGCGGACGGGUGAGUAAUGCCUAGGAAUCUGCCUGGUAGUGGGGGAUAACGUCCGGAAACGGGCGCUAAUACCGCAUACGUCCUGAGGGAGAAAGUGGGGGAUCUUCGGACCUCACGCUAUCAUAUGAGCCUAGGUCGGAUUAGCUAGUUGGUGGGGUAAAGGCCUACCAAGGCGACGAUCCGUAACUGGUCUGAGAGGAUGAUCAGUCACACUGGAACUGAGACACGGUCCAGACUCCUACGGGAGGCAGCAGUGGGGAAUAUUGGACAAUGGGCGAAAGCCUGAUCCAGCCAUGCCGCGUGUGUGAAGAAGGUCUUCGGAUUGUAAAGCACUUUAAGUUGGGAGGAAGGGCAGUAAGUUAAUACCUUGCUGUUUUGACGUUACCAACAGAAUAAGCACCGGCUAACUUCGUG
Molecule: ribosomal RNA, 484 nt
Filed under: uncultured bacterium
Lineage: Bacteria
Description: partial 16S ribosomal RNA
Rfam family: Bacterial small subunit ribosomal RNA
Source: RNAcentral